This 449-nucleotide ribosomal RNA is filed under the name uncultured bacterium. RNAcentral's name for it is "partial 16S ribosomal RNA". It matches the Rfam family "Bacterial small subunit ribosomal RNA", at positions 30 to 523 of the family's 1533-position model. The record is from RNAcentral.
AUUGAACGCUGGCGGCAGGCCUAACACAUGCAAGUCGAACGAACCCUUCGGGGUUAGUGGCGGACGGGUGAGUAACACGUGGGAACGUGCCUUUAGGUUCGGAAUAACUCAGGGAAACUUGUGCUAAUACCGAAUGUGCCCUUCGGGGGAAAGAUUUAUCGCCUUUAGAGCGGCCCGCGUCUGAGUAGCUAGUUGGUGAGGUAAUGGCUCACCAAGGCUACGAUAAGUAGCUGGUCUGGGAGGAUGACCAGCCACAUUGGGACUGAGACACGGCCCAAACUCCUACGGGAGGCAGCAGUGGGGAAUCUUGCGCAAUGGGCGAAAGCCUGACGCAGCCAUGCCGCGUGGAUGAUGAAGGUCUUAGGAUUGUAAAAUCCUUUCACCGGUGAAGAUAAUGACUGUAGCCGGAGAAGAAGCCCCGGCUAACUUCGUGCCAGCCGCCGCGGUAA